UGAAGCUUCUGUCACUGGGUGACAACAGGCUGGGAGAUCCGGGGGUGAAACGUUUGUCUGAGGUGCUGGGGAACCCACAAUGUAAAUUACAGGAACUCGACCUGUACAGUAACGGUCUGACAGAUUCAUGCACAGAGUAUCUCUCCUCGGUUCUCAGAAAAAUGCGUUCACUGAAGGUUUUGGACUUGGGAGCAAACUCCUUCACAGACAAAUCUGCCCAGUCUUUCCGCAAGCUCAUAGAGAAGCGCAAAAGUUUGAAGCAGAUCACGUUGGUGGGGAAUCGGUUCACUGCAGAUGGACAGAAUCAGCUGAUGUCGCUGCGAGGAAUUAGACGUGGAAUGAGUAUCAAAUGUAGCAUUUAAGUUUCCCUGCAUGGGAACUGGUCGAUUUUCCGGACGGGCUUCGGGUUUAAACCCUAAUCUUUUCGGACAAAUUGCCAUGGACGGCGCAACAGUGAUUUCGAACUGGAAAUAUUUCCGUCAAGUAUUACACUGGUUUGUUGUGUGUUGCAUCGAAUCGGAUUAAAUUAACGACAAUACAUCAAGAAACGUCAGAAGAUUCUCGACACGGCAAGGGAUGUGCAAGCAGAUAACAUCCCAACGGUACCGUUCGUCGGGCCAGA
This is a long non-coding RNA of Pristis pectinata (smalltooth sawfish), 622 nucleotides long. RefSeq lists it as uncharacterized. The record is from RefSeq and is a predicted model, not a curated record. NCBI's taxonomy places the organism in Eukaryota, Metazoa, Chordata, Chondrichthyes, Rhinopristiformes, Pristidae. The transcript is spliced from 3 exons.